RNAcentral lists this non-coding RNA (81 nucleotides) under Ricinus communis (castor bean). RNAcentral's name for it is "Eukaryotic small subunit ribosomal RNA". It matches the Rfam family "Eukaryotic small subunit ribosomal RNA", at positions 1 to 84 of the family's 1831-position model. The record is from Rfam by way of RNAcentral. Lineage: Eukaryota; Viridiplantae; Streptophyta; Magnoliopsida; Malpighiales; Euphorbiaceae.
UACCUGGUUGAUCCUGCCAGUAGUCAUAUGCUUGUCUCAAAGAUAAGCAUGCAUGUGUAGUAUGACUAAUUCAGACUGUGA